CUCCCGGUGGCCAAGCUGGUUAAGGCGCGAGACUGUAAAUCUUGAGAUCGGGCGUUCGACUCGCCCCCGGGAGA
This 74-nucleotide transfer RNA is filed under the name Blastobotrys adeninivorans. Its description in RNAcentral is "tRNA Tyr (GTA) score". It matches the Rfam family "tRNA". From Rfam's summary of the family: Transfer RNA (tRNA) molecules are approximately 80 nucleotides in length. Their secondary structure includes four short double-helical elements and three loops (D, anti-codon, and T loops). The record is from RNAcentral. Lineage: Eukaryota; Fungi; Ascomycota; Dipodascomycetes; Dipodascales; Trichomonascaceae.